RNAcentral lists this long non-coding RNA (209 nucleotides) under Setaria italica (foxtail millet). RNAcentral's name for it is "long non-coding RNA (SITA_LNC002632)". The record is from RNAcentral. Lineage: Eukaryota; Viridiplantae; Streptophyta; Magnoliopsida; Poales; Poaceae.
GAUGAUUAACAUUAUAUGCCUUUUCAAAACUAAAAUAAUUCUCUAAGACCGAUCUACAUGGAUAAUGUAAAACCACAGUGAACGCAGAUAUGCGUAUCACUAUUAAGAUAUUCUUAGGGGUGAAAAUUGAGUCCAUCUCCAAUGAUAUGGUACACAACAUUCUCCAUGACCAUCGUUUAAAAAAACAUUCUCCAUGACCAUGACCGUCU